Long non-coding RNA from Vespa velutina, 1506 nucleotides. RefSeq lists it as uncharacterized. The transcript is spliced from 3 exons. NCBI's taxonomy places the organism in Eukaryota, Metazoa, Arthropoda, Insecta, Hymenoptera, Vespidae. The record is from RefSeq and is a predicted model, not a curated record.
GAGAAAGUAGAGAACUGGUCAUAGUACGAUUCAAGGUCUGUCAGUGAACGUAUAGGUAGAUAACUGGUAAACGAUUAACCUUCCAACGGGAGUAUCGAUUAAAGCGUACCAGUCUCUUCAUUGUUCCGAGAUAACAGCGGUUAAGCGAAACGUUAACUACCAAGGCAGGCCGUCCAACGUUUCAUCGUACUAAAGUGCAACUCUAAUGUGCGACCGCAUACGUCAUUCGCAGCCAUCAAUUUUGCAUUGCGCCACUACCACUAACGCGUAGGUAAGAUAGGAGGAGACCAAGUAGUAUCAUAACGUCUCUACCUACGCAUGAUGUUGCGGUUUGGGAUAUGAUAUUGCGGGUGUUUACAAAGGCAUCCGCAUUAGCUUUCAAGAUAAUUGAAGAUAAUGACAAUAUGCGUUGAUACUAUAUUUAGAAGAGAUGACCUGGGGCCCACACGCAUAAUUGUCCUUGAUGAUUGAUUCGGUUCGCGUAAUGAUAACAUAGAUCAUAUUCGAUCUGGGUUCGUUAGAGAGACAUCUUGAAUUCACGAUCCGAAAUAUUAUUCGCGAAUUGACGAGAGAAUAAUCGAUGUUUAAUUACCCGUAUGUAUUAAAUUAUAAAUUUUCGAAAAUCUCUGGACUGCUUACGGAAUAGUUAAUUACAAGUUCGAUAGAUCUUCUGAUUACGCAGGGGAAUCAAUGGUUCGAGAUUGGUAAACAGUUUCCCUUGUGAAACCGAGUUACUUGCAAUUAACGUAACUUUGGUUAUUGUGAAUGAAUAUUAAUAUAAAAUAGAAAACGAGUUAAAAACUUUUUUGAAGAGGAAAAUCUCAACUAUGAUGACGACGACGUUAUAUAAGUAGAAUACGUAUGCAACUCGAUGCCUAGAAUGAAAUUAAAACUGUCCGACGAUUCUAAUCCCGUACGUCAUAUCCGGCAGUCAACGCGAUCUAUGCGUAAAAAUGAAUGUAGAAUAAAAGAAAGAAAGAAUGAAAAAAAGAAAAAAAAAGAAAGAAAAAAAGAAAAAGAAAAAGAACAAAAAGGAAAGCAGAAAAUAAACUAUACGGCUUAUUCGAACGAAAACAAAAUUUCGAAAAAAGUGAUAAAAUAAAUUAAUAUAAAAUAAAUAAAUGUUUCGACGAAAUAUUCGAAGAAGUCCGAAAUUGCUUAUAGUCCGAUUAAUUUACUACUCGUUAACGAGUUCCUUUUUACAUAUCCAAGUUGUAUAAUUAAUAAAGGUUAUAACAUUGAAAAAAAUUUUCUUUAAAUUAAUAUUACGAGAAAAAUUAUUAAUCGCAAAAUUCUCAUUAAGUACGGGCAUUAAAAAAUAAAGUAAUUACAAAACUAAUCGGUUUGUAUCUUUAAAAUAAAUAUAAGGCAAAUAUUAUUAAAAAAAAAAAAAAAAGAAAAAAAAGAAAAAAAAUAAAAAGAAAAAUUCUUUUCCCUAUUCGCAUAAUAUAUUUUCCUUGUAAAAUGAGUAUUAAACAAAAACACACGCACGCGCGUAUACAAAAC